RNAcentral lists this transfer RNA (57 nucleotides) under Dipodomys ordii (Ord's kangaroo rat). It matches the Rfam family "tRNA", at positions 8 to 63 of the family's 71-position model. Rfam says of the family: Transfer RNA (tRNA) molecules are approximately 80 nucleotides in length. Their secondary structure includes four short double-helical elements and three loops (D, anti-codon, and T loops). Lineage: Eukaryota; Metazoa; Chordata; Mammalia; Rodentia; Heteromyidae. The record is from Rfam by way of RNAcentral.
UGGCUCAGUGGUAGAGCGUUUGCCUUGCAUGCAUGAAGCCUUGGGUUCAAUUCCUUA